UGUGCCACUGCACUCCAGCCUAGCUGACAGAAUGAGACUCUGUCUCAAAAAAAAAAAAAAAAAAGACUAAAGAGAUAAGACAACAAAUACAGUGGAUGAGCCUGGGUUAGGAAGGAUAGUACAAAGAGCAUGUUUGGGGGACAGUUGAAAUUUGAAUAUAGACUGUGGAUUAGAUGUUAAAUUUCCUGAUUUUUAAAAUUAUAUCGUGGUCAUCUAAGACAUGCCCUUAUUUUUAGGUAUUUGGAGAAGAGAGAGGCAUAACGUUUGUAACUUACUCUCCAGCGGUUUGUGAGAGAAAAUGUGAAUAAAGAAAAUGGGGUAAAAUGUUACUACUGAUAAAUCUGGUCAAAGGAUAUACAGGAAUUCCUGAUAAUUUCUGUAUAUUUUUGAGGAUUUUCUAUAAGUUUAAAAUUAUAUCAAAACAAAAAAAGUACCAAAGAACUUAAAGUGACAUGAAAAGUGGCUCAGAAGCUAGAACUCCAGAGGGGUGGGCUUCAGAGUUGGCUUUAUUUAGCAGCUCCACAGUCUGAUCAAAUGCUCAGGUUCUUGUUGUCUUUUGGCCUUCUAGCCCUCAGUGUGUGCUUCAUCCAGCAGCCACUUCCUCUUGAGGUUUCAGGUGAUUGCCAGUGACAAUCAGGGCUGCAUAUGCUUUCCCACUGAGCCGUCGACAUCCUUUUACCUUUUCAGUCACUUGAAUUCCGAGACUUUUCUGUAAGUUUUAAAGGAUAUCAAAGGUAAGGACCUGUUAGAAAAGUCUCGACAACAGUCCAGGGAAGUCAUUAAAAUCGGUUUUAUUGAUAAUAUUUAAACAUUUCUUAAAUUGACAGUCAAUUUGGUCUGAUGAAGUUUCAUUGUUACUAGAAAAAAAAAACAGUGUAAACAGUUGCAUAUGCUAAAAAUAUGUUAGGACAGAUACUGCCAGAAAGCCAGUUGUUAUAGAAGCAUAGUUUCUACUCUAUAGUCAUUAAAAUGUAAUUUGGCCUUUCAUGUGACCUCUAAAGGAAAUCUUAGGCAGAAUUCAAAAUACUGUUUUUAAUAAAGAACCAGGAAUUUAGGGAGUGUUCUUGAAAGAAUCAUUUCUUCUGACAGAAUUAAAAAAGAAUUUUAGAUUUGAGAUAUCUUAUAAUAAUUGUACAUUUCUAAUUUAGUUUAAAAAUAAAUGUGUAUAGGAAGAAGUAAUUAUGUCAAAUAAGUAUAAGAAAAAUAUUAGAAGUAAAUGGUUUUCUUACAUCAUACAUCUCGAAACUUUGAAAUGUCAAAGAUUAUGUGCCCUCUAGUUGGUGAUUCAAACUAGUCGCUUGUAUAAAAAUCCAAAGCAUGUGAACUCUGCCGCCUCUGCACAGGCAUCCCUGGCCAAUGCAGUCCCAGCUGUUUGCUCACCCACACCUUCGCUAUAGUUUUCCUCAGUUUUGUAUCUAGACAUGAGUGGAUGGUGGUGAGCUGGGGCAGUCCAGGAGCCUACACACCCAGCUAUGCAGUCAUGUGGGCAUCUGUGCCAUUUGAUUCCACUCUUCUUCCUCCAGCCUGCAUAUUUAAUUAUGCCCCAGGAAAGCGGAGCAAAGAAGUUAAGCAGCUAUUUUAGGUAGUUGGGCAGCUCUAAAAAACAGUGGAGACCAUAUCUACUUCUACUUGUUUUUUUGAAUACUCUUAGUACAGGAGAAACUAGCAGUUGAGGCUGUUAGUAUUUAAUUCUCAGCAAAUUAUUACUAUGCAGCAAAUUAUUUCUUCUUCCAAACAUUUCUUUGAAGCAGUUGAACUAUUCUGGGGCGCUGAGAUGAAACCAUUCAUUGGCAAAUGUUUAAAAAAGUGGCAGGCCCAGAGAUACAGUUAAAAUACAGUCUCCCCGAGAGUUGCUGGUAUGAGUUCGGCACAGGAAAGCUGUUCUGGCUCAUGCCUGUUUGGUGGCUUCUUUAAUGCUUGCCCAUACGGAAUGAAGUAACGCCCUCUCCCACCAGGCUUUCCUUCCGUGUGUGUGCCCUGGAGCCCCUCUAGCUCUCCUUCAGGCCUGCUGCACUCCACAGGCCCAGAAAAGUCUGGCCAGAAUGGCAGAAUAGGGGAUCACUUUCAACUUUGGGGUUAUAGAUAAGCUAUUAAUGGAUUAUUGAGAGUGAGAGAGACACUAGAGGGAAGUUGCAAAAAGAAAACCGUGAAUAGAGGUUUUGAGGUAAGAUAAUGAAAGGGUGCUUAGGUUAUAAAAGAGCACAGGAAGAGAAGAAGGCAUUUGUCAGAGAUGUGAUGAUUGGCUA
Cercocebus atys (sooty mangabey) is the source of this 2246-nucleotide long non-coding RNA. RefSeq lists it as uncharacterized. The record is from RefSeq and is a predicted model, not a curated record. NCBI's taxonomy places the organism in Eukaryota, Metazoa, Chordata, Mammalia, Primates, Cercopithecidae. The transcript has 2 exons.